RNAcentral lists this ribosomal RNA (502 nucleotides) under uncultured Alteromonadales bacterium. RNAcentral describes it as "bacterial SSU rRNA". It matches the Rfam family "Bacterial small subunit ribosomal RNA", at positions 523 to 1015 of the family's 1533-position model. The record is from RNAcentral. Lineage: Bacteria; Pseudomonadati; Pseudomonadota; Gammaproteobacteria; Alteromonadales.
AUACGGAGGGUGCGAGCGUUAAUCGGAAUUACUGGGCGUAAAGCGCACGCAGGCGGUCUGUUAAGCUAAGAUGUGAAAGCCCCGCGCUCAACGUGGGAGGGUCAUUUAGAACUGGCAAGACUAGAGUCUUGGAGAGGGGAGUGGAAUUCCCAGGUGUAGCGGUGAAAUUGCGUAGAGAUCCUGGAGGAACAUCAAUGGCGAAGGCAACUCCCUGGCCAAAAGACUGACGACUCAUGUGCGAAAGUGUGGGUAGCGAACAGGAUUAGAUACCCUGGUAGUCCACACCGUAAACGCUGUCUACUAGCUGUUGUGAAUUUAAUCCGUGAGUAGCGAAGCUAACGCGAUAAGUAGACCGCCUGGGGAGUACGGCCGCAAGGUUAAAACUCAAAUGAAUUGACGGGGGCCCGCACAAGCGGUGGAGCAUGUGGUUUAAUUCGACGCAAACGCGAACGAACCUUACCAGGUCUUGACGAUCCAGAGAACUUUCCAGAGAUGGAUUGGU